UACGUAGGGGGCAAGCGUUGUCCGGAUUCAUUGGGCGUAAAGAGCGUGUAGGCGGCCAGGUAGGUCGGUUGUGAAAACUGGAGGCUCAACCUUCAGAGGUCGACCGAAACCAUCUGGCUAGAGUCCGGGAGAGGAGAGUGGAAUUCCUGGUGUAGCGGUGGAAUGCGUAGAGAUCCGGAAGAACACCGGUGGCGAAGGCGGCCGCUGGGCAGUUUAGCUGACACUGAGGCGCGACAGCGUGGGGAGCAAACAGG
This 254-nucleotide ribosomal RNA is filed under the name uncultured bacterium. Its description in RNAcentral is "partial 16S ribosomal RNA". It matches the Rfam family "Bacterial small subunit ribosomal RNA", at positions 524 to 776 of the family's 1533-position model. The record is from RNAcentral.